AGAACUUAGCAGAGAUGCUUUGGUGCCUUCGGGGAACUCUGAGACAGGUGCUGCAUGGCUGUCGUCAGCUCGUGUUGUGAAAUGUUGGGUUAAGUCCCGCAACGAGCGCAACCCUUAUCCUUUGUUGCCAGCGGGUUAUGCCGGGAACUCAAAGGAGACUGCCAGUGAUAAACUGGAGGAAGGUGGGGAUGACGUCAAGUCAUCAUGGCCCUUACGAGUAGGGCUACACACGUGCUACAAUGGCGCAUACAAAGAGAAGCGACCUCGCGAGAGCAAGCGGACCUCAUAAAGUGCGUCGUAGUCCGGAUUGGAGUCUGCAACUCGACUCCAUGAAGUCGGAAUCGCUAGUAAUCGUAGAUCAGAAUGCUACGGUGAAUACGUUCCCGGGCCUUGUACACACCGCCCGUCACACCAUGGGAGUGGGUUGCAAAAGAAGUAGGUAGCUUAACCUUCGGGAGGGCGCUUACCACUUUGUGAUUCAUGACUGGGGUGAAGUCGUAACAAGGUAAGCGUAGUGCU
RNAcentral lists this ribosomal RNA (519 nucleotides) under uncultured bacterium. Its description in RNAcentral is "bacterial SSU rRNA". It matches the Rfam family "Bacterial small subunit ribosomal RNA", at positions 992 to 1509 of the family's 1533-position model. The record is from RNAcentral.